GACGAACGCUGGCGGCGUGCUUAACACAUGCGAGUCGAACGGAAAGGCCCUGCUUUUGUGGGGUGCUCGAGUGGCGAACGGGUGAGUAACACGUGAGUAACCUGCCCUUGACUUUGGGAUAACUUCAGGAAACUGGGGCUAAUACCGGAUAGGAGCUCCUGCUGCAUGGUGGGGGUUGGAAAGUUUCGGCGGUUGGGGAUGGACUCGCGGCUUAUCAGCUUGUUGGUGGGGUAGUGGCUUACCAAGGCUUUGACGGGUAGCCGGCCUGAGAGGGUGACCGGCCACAUGGGGACUGAGAUACGGCCCAGACUCCUACGGGAGGCAGCAGUGGGGAAUAUUGCACAAUGGGCGGAAGCCUGAUGCAACAACGCCGCGUGCGGGAUGACGGCCUUCGGGUUGUAAACCGCUUUCGCCUGUGACGAAGCGUGAGUGACGGUAAUGGGUAAAGAAGCACCGGCUAACUACGUG
Molecule: ribosomal RNA, 468 nt
Filed under: uncultured bacterium
Lineage: Bacteria
Description: partial 16S ribosomal RNA
Rfam family: Bacterial small subunit ribosomal RNA
Source: RNAcentral